RNAcentral lists this non-coding RNA (213 nucleotides) under Clostridia bacterium. Its description in RNAcentral is "T-box sequence". It matches the Rfam family "T-box leader". From Rfam's summary of the family: Uncharged tRNA acts as the effector for transcription antitermination of genes in the T-box leader family. T-boxes are found upstream of many aminoacyl-tRNA synthetase genes and some amino acid biosynthetic genes usually in Gram-positive bacteria. The record is from RNAcentral. Lineage: Bacteria; Bacillati; Bacillota; Clostridia.
GUAAACCCGAUGCCGGGAAGAAGUAUCCGGGUAUCGGCCUUGCAGAGAGCCGGUGGACGCUGCGAACCGGUAGGGAUGCCCGGAGAAGUCCGUCCCGAAGGGGUCGUGCCGAACGGCAGUAGGCACGGACGGGUCAAGCCCGUUACAGCUCAAGAGGGGGCCUUGCCGGCCAAAAAGGGUGGCAACGCGGGAGCAAAACCUCUCGUCCCUUAC